GACGAACGCUGGCGGCAUGCUUAACACAUGCAAGUCGAACGGAAAGGCCCUGCUUUUGUGGGUUGCUCGAGUGGCGAACGGAUGAGUAACAAGGGAGUAACCUGCCCUGUACUUUGUGAUAGCUGCAAGAAACUGGGGCUAAUACCGGAUAUGAGCUCCUGCUGCGUGGUGGGUGUUGGAAAGUUUAGGCGGUUGGGGAUGGACUCGCGGCUUAUCAGCUUGUUGGUGUGGUAGUGGCUUACCAAGGCUUUGACGGGUAGCCGGCGUGAGAGGGUGACCGGCGACAUUGGGACUGAGAUACGGCCCAGACUCACACGGGAGGCAGCAGUGGGGAAUAUUGCACAAUGGGCGGAAGACCGAUGUAGAACAGCCGCGUGCGGGAUGACGGCCUUCGGGUUGUAAACAGCUUUCGCCUGUGACGAAGAGUGAGUGACGGUACUGGGUAAAGAAGCAACGGCUAACUACGUG
RNAcentral lists this ribosomal RNA (468 nucleotides) under uncultured bacterium. RNAcentral describes it as "partial 16S ribosomal RNA". It matches the Rfam family "Bacterial small subunit ribosomal RNA", at positions 28 to 507 of the family's 1533-position model. The record is from RNAcentral.